AUGGAACCAAUGGACCAGGGAGAAAGAACCAAGGCCAGAAGGAAAACCCAGCUCCUCUUUCUGUGCAGAACUGUAAAUAAUUCCAAUAUUUUGGCUCAGUUUGUAGGUCAGGCUCUUUCACACUGUGUGUGGAAGAACCUUUUUUGGGACAACAGUCAUAGAGAAAUGCUACAGCCAUCUGAUCAUUGGGAGAUGGGGACAGCUGGACCAGGCUGGGAUGGGGACAGGAGAAAUGGGGACAGCUGGAUCAGGCUGGGAUGGGGACAGGAGAAGUGGGGACAGCUGGAUCAGACUGGGAUGGGGACAGGAGAAGUGGGGACAGCUGGAUCAGACUGGGAUGGGGACAGGAGAAGUGGGGACAGCUGGAUCAGACUGGGAUGGGGACAGGAGAAGUGGGGACAGCUGGAUCAGACUGGGAUGGGGACAGGAGAAGUGGGGACAGCUGGAUCAGACUGGGAUGGGGACAGGAGAAGUGGGGACAGCUGGAUCAGACUGGGAUGGGGACAGGAGAAGUGGGGACAGCUGGAUCAGACUGGGAUGGGGACAGGAGAAGUGGGGACAGCUGGAUCAGACUGGGAUGGGGACAGGAGAAGUGGGGACAGCUGGAUCAGACUGGGAUGGGGACAGGAGAAGUGGGGACAGCUGGAUCAGACUGGGAUGGGGACAGGAGAAGUGGGGACAGCUGGAUCAGACUGGGAUGGGGACAGGAGAAGUGGGGACAGCUGGAUCAGACUGGGAUGGGGACAGGAGAAGUGGGGACAGCUGGAUCAGACUGGGAUGGGGACAGGAGAAGUGGGGACAGCUGGAUCAGACUGGGAUGGGGACAGGAGAAGUGGGGACAGCUGGAUCAGACUGGGAUGGGGACAGGAGAAGUGGGGACAGCUGGAUCAGACUGGGAUGGGGACAGGAGAAGUGGGGACAGCUGGACCAGGCUGGGAUGGGGACAGGAGAAAUGGGGACAGCUGGGCCAGGCUGGGAUGGGGACAGGAGAGGGCUGGAUGA
Molecule: long non-coding RNA, 1002 nt
Filed under: Ficedula albicollis (Collared flycatcher)
Lineage: Eukaryota; Metazoa; Chordata; Aves; Passeriformes; Muscicapidae
Description: lncRNA (ENSFALG00000027830.1)
Source: RNAcentral